This 440-nucleotide long non-coding RNA is filed under the name Elaeis guineensis (African oil palm). Its description in RNAcentral is "long non-coding RNA (EGUI_LNC012310)". The record is from RNAcentral. Lineage: Eukaryota; Viridiplantae; Streptophyta; Magnoliopsida; Arecales; Arecaceae.
GGGCAGUGAUGUCAAUGGCCGAAAAAAGGUGAAAGGAAGGUAAGAAAAAUGAGAGAUCUUCUUUUCUUAAAUUUUUGAUGAAAUCAGUGGCUCACAGCAGUGUCUAAGGCCAAGAGAAGAAGAGGAAGAGAGAGAGAGAGGAGGAAGGAUAGGUGCUUUAUCUCGGCUCCGAUGGUGUCUCCGGCCUCAGUUUUUAGUAGACACAAUGAAAGAGAUUCGAUGAAAAUCGAGAGAAAGAGAGGAGGGCUGGUGUUCAUUCUGAAGUGAGGAGGGCUGGUGUUCAUUGUGAAGUGCUUUGGAGGGGGGAGGAAGAGAUUUAUAAGAGAUUUUUUAGGAUUUUUAGUAGCCCUAGGAGAUUGUUUUCGUGUCGGAUUUGAUGGGAAAGAAGACUCUCAUCAAGAGUCUUCAUUCCUCUAUUUUUUUUUGCCUUAAGAGUCAUG